This 356-nucleotide ribosomal RNA is filed under the name Acompomintho sp. n. AT-2015. RNAcentral's name for it is "partial 16S ribosomal RNA". Lineage: Eukaryota; Metazoa; Arthropoda; Insecta; Diptera; Rhinophoridae. The record is from RNAcentral.
AAUCAGUAGUCUUUUAAUUGAAGGCUGGUAUGAAUGGUUGGACGAAAUAUUAACUGUUUCAUAAAAAUUUGUAGUAGAAUUUUAUUUUUUAGUAAAAAAGCUAAAAUUUAUUUAAAAGACGAGAAGACCCUAUAAAUCUUUAUAUAUAAUUUAUUAUAAUUUUUUAGAUAUUUUUUAUUAUUAUAAAUGACUAUAUUUUAUUGGGGUGAUAUUAAAAUUUAAUAAACUUUUAAUUUAAAAAAUCAUUAAUUUAUGAAUAAUUGAUCCAUUAUUAGUGAUUAAAAAAAUAAGUUACUUUAGGGAUAACAGCGUAAUUUUUUUGGAGAGUUCAUAUUGAUAAAAAAGAUUGCGACCUC